Molecule: ribosomal RNA, 643 nt
Filed under: uncultured Lachnospiraceae bacterium
Lineage: Bacteria; Bacillati; Bacillota; Clostridia; Lachnospirales; Lachnospiraceae
Description: bacterial SSU rRNA
Rfam family: Bacterial small subunit ribosomal RNA
Source: RNAcentral
GUGGGUGACCUGCCCCAUACCGGGGGAUAACAGCUGGAAACGGCUGCUAAUACCGCAUAAGCGCACAGAGCUGCAUGGCUCGGUGUGAAAAACUCCGGUGGUAUGGGAUGGGCCCGCGUCUGAUUAGGCAGUUGGCGGGGUAACGGCCCACCAAACCGACGAUCAGUAGCCGGCCUGAGAGGGCGACCGGCCACAUUGGGACUGAGACACGGCCCAAACUCCUACGGGAGGCAGCAGUGGGGAAUAUUGCACAAUGGGGGAAACCCUGAUGCAGCGACGCCGCGUGAGCGAAGAAGUAUUUCGGUAUGUAAAGCUCUAUCAGCAGGGAAGAUAAUGACGGUACCUGACUAAGAAGCCCCGGCUAACUACGUGCCAGCAGCCGCGGUAAUACGUAGGGGGCAAGCGUUAUCCGGAUUUACUGGGUGUAAAGGGAGCGUAGACGGCAAGGCAAGUCUGAUGUGAAAACCCAGGGCUUAACCCUGGGACUGCAUUGGAAACUGUCUGGCUCGAGUGCCGGAGAGGUAAGCGGAAUUCCUAGUGUAGCGGUGAAAUGCGUAGAUAUUAGGAAGAACACCAGUGGCGAAGGCGGCUUACUGGACGGUAACUGACGUUGAGGCUCGAAAGCGUGGGGAGCAAACAGGAU